AUGAAAUCAUUGAGGUGCAUAUUAUAUUUGGCUCUUCUCAAAGGAGUCCAAUCUCAAGUCCAGUUGGUGGAGUCUGGAGGGGAUGUGAGAAGACCUGGAGAGACCCUCCGUCUCUCCUGCCAAGCCUCUGGAUUCACCUUCAGCAGCUAUGCCAUGAGCUGGGUGAGACAGGCUCCAGGGAAAGGACUGGAAUGGGUGUCCCGCAUAAACACUGCUUCUAGAACUCACUACUCUGACAAAGUGAAGGGACGCUUCACCAUCUCCAGGGACAAUGCCAAAAGCCAGCUGUAUCUGCAAAUGAACAACCUCAAAACUGAAGACACAGGAGUCUAUUACUGUGCAAGAGACACAGUGAGAGGAAGUGAAUCAGAAGCCAAACAAAAACCUUCCUUUCUUUACUCUUCAACUUUAUGGCGCCCCACAUCCUUGAUUAGUCAUUGA
This is a non-coding RNA of Thamnophis elegans (Western terrestrial garter snake), 441 nucleotides long. Lineage: Eukaryota; Metazoa; Chordata; Lepidosauria; Squamata; Natricidae. The record is from the annotation of a RefSeq genome assembly.